Molecule: ribosomal RNA, 272 nt
Filed under: uncultured bacterium
Lineage: Bacteria
Description: partial 16S ribosomal RNA
Rfam family: Bacterial small subunit ribosomal RNA
Source: RNAcentral
AACCUCGCGCGAUUGGAGCGGCUGAUAUCAGAUUAGGUUGUUGGUGAGGUAAAAGCUCACCAAGCCGACGAUCUGUAGCUGGUUUGAGAGAACGACCAGCCACACUGGGACUGAGACACGGCCCAGACUCCUACGGGAGGCAGCAGUGGGGAAUUUUGGACAAUGGGCGAAAGCCUGAUCCAGCAAUGCCGCGUGUGGGAAGAAGGACUUCGGGUUGUAAACCACUUUUGUACGGAACGAAAAAGUUUGCUUUAAUAAAGUGGGCUCAUGAC